CGCCUGGGGAGUGCGGCCGCAAGGCUAAAACUCAAAGGAAUUGACGGGGGCCCGCACAAGCGGCGGAGCAUGUGGAUUAAUUCGAUGCAACGCGAAGAACCUUACCUGGGCUUGACAUACACCAGAUUGGGCUAGAGAUAGUUCGUCCCUUUGUGGUUGGUGUACAGGUGGUGCAUGGUUGUCGUCAGCUCGUGUCGUGAGAUGUUGGGUUAAGUCCCGCAACGAGCGCAACCCUUGUCUUAUGUUGCCAGCAUUUGGUUGGGGACUCAUGAGAGACUGCCGGGGUUAACUCGGAGGAAGGUGGGGAUGACGUCAAAUCAUCAUGCCCCUUAUGUCCAGGGCUUCACACAUGCUACAAUGGUCGGUACAACGCGCUGCGACACCGUGAGGUGGAGCGAAUCGCUGAAAGCCGGCCUUAGUUCGGAUUGGGGUCUGCAACUCGACCCCAUGAAGUCGGAGUCGCUAGUAAUCGCAGAUCAGCAAUGCUGCGGUGAAUACGUUCCCGGGCCUUGUACACACCGCCCGUCACGUCAUGAAAGUUGGUAACACCCGAAGCCGGUGGCCUAAACGUGUUAGGGAGCCGUCGAAGGUGGGAUCGGCGAUUGGGACGAAGUCGUAACAAGGUAACCGUA
This 632-nucleotide ribosomal RNA is filed under the name uncultured Corynebacterium sp. Its description in RNAcentral is "bacterial SSU rRNA". It matches the Rfam family "Bacterial small subunit ribosomal RNA", at positions 870 to 1504 of the family's 1533-position model. The record is from RNAcentral. Lineage: Bacteria; Bacillati; Actinomycetota; Actinomycetes; Mycobacteriales; Corynebacteriaceae.